This 60-nucleotide transfer RNA is filed under the name Candidatus Bathyarchaeota archaeon. Its description in RNAcentral is "tRNA-Arg". It matches the Rfam family "tRNA", at positions 10 to 63 of the family's 71-position model. From Rfam's summary of the family: Transfer RNA (tRNA) molecules are approximately 80 nucleotides in length. Their secondary structure includes four short double-helical elements and three loops (D, anti-codon, and T loops). Further hydrogen bonds mediate the characteristic L-shaped molecular structure. tRNAs have two regions of fundamental functional importance: the anti-codon, which is responsible for specific mRNA codon recognition, and the 3' end, to which the tRNAs corresponding amino acid is attached (by aminoacyl-tRNA synthetases). tRNAs cope with the degeneracy of the genetic code in two manners: having more than one tRNA (with a specific anti-codon) for a particular amino acid; and 'wobble' base-pairing, i.e. permitting non-standard base-pairing at the 3rd anti-codon position. Lineage: Archaea; Thermoproteati; Candidatus Bathyarchaeota. The record is from RNAcentral.
GCUCAGCAUGGACAGAGCAGCGGCCUCCUAAGCCGUUGGUCGUGGGUUCAAAUCCCACCG